Molecule: long non-coding RNA, 214 nt
Filed under: Mytilus galloprovincialis (Mediterranean mussel)
Lineage: Eukaryota; Metazoa; Mollusca; Bivalvia; Mytilida; Mytilidae
Source: RNAcentral
CUUCUGCCGUCUGAGAUGUUUUUUUGUCUUACAACAUAUCGAAUGGAUUUUUUGGCCAAUGAUGUUGUACAGUAAUGGGGGUUUCAAAACUCACCCUAUAUGACCGAACACUUAUUCUUAUAGGAGUUAUCUCCCCGCGUCCCUUUUUUCUUGUUAUCACUAUAUCUCUAAAACCGUAAAAGAUUUAAGCAAACUGUUUUAACCAAAUUGUUCG